UGGGGAAUAUUGCACAAUGGAGGGAACUCUGAUGCAGCGACGCCGCGUGAACGAAGAAGGCUUUCGAGUCGUAAAGUUCUUUUAUAUGGGAAGAUAAUGACGGUACCAUAAGAAAAAGCCCCGGCUAACUACGUGCCAGCAGCCGCGGUAAUACGUAGGGGGCUAGCGUUGUCCGGAAUCACUGGGCGUAAAGGGUUCGCAGGCGGAAAUGCAAGUCAGGUGUAAAAGGCAGUAGCUUAACUACUGUAAGCAUUUGAAACUGCAUAUCUUGAGAAGAGUAGAGGUAAGUGGAAUUUUUAGUGUAGCGGUCAAAUGCGUAGAUAUUAAAAAGAAUACCGGUGGCGAAGGCGACUUACUGGGCUCAUUCUGACGCUGAGGAACGAAAGCGUGGGUAGCAAACAGG
Molecule: ribosomal RNA, 403 nt
Filed under: Fusobacteriota bacterium
Lineage: Bacteria; Fusobacteriati; Fusobacteriota
Description: Fusobacteria bacterium partial 16S ribosomal RNA
Rfam family: Bacterial small subunit ribosomal RNA
Source: RNAcentral